GUGUUCUCUGUAGGAACAAGAAAUUGAUGGAAGAAUUUUAAAUUUAAGGCUUAACUCUGUAAUGCAUAUGCAGGCAUAAUUUGGACACCCCAAAAAAACCUUGUUGACUUAAUUAUUUAUUUUGUGUCUGGUUUCUAAUGCGCUCACCAAAAGAGCAUUGCUCAGUCCAGCUGCUCUGAGGUUUUUGAUACCCAUCUGACUCAGAGGCAGAGCUUCAAACCACAGUGUUCAGUACAGAGACAUCAGAUGUUUUCACAGUGCAAAGGACACAGGAGUGAAAAGCAUUUACUUGGUUAGCAGGCAUAACACAGAGAGGACACUUAGCAGUUUGCAACCACCCAUACCUAGGAUUCUUAAACUAUGCUCUUUCUUCUUUCUUUUCCAUUUGAACUCUUUUUUUUUUUCCCCAGAGAUGUAAAGGACAAACUUGAGAAGCCACCUCUGCUGCAGGUACUUUCCAUGUUUCUGAGUGAGCAGGCCAAGAAAAACAGCAAACGAAGAGCUGGGUUCCUCCCGUGUCACCAGCAUCACCAUGGUCAGAGCAAAAACUGCUAAGAAAGCAACACAGGCUGAGGAGGAAUUUGUCCGGCGUGUGGUCAGAGGCAAAGACACUGAGAACUGGAUCAUCUGCCUUCAUUUAUUAUACUGCAACACAGGAACAGCCACGGGACCUGAAAACUGUGGCCAGUUAGGACACACUGAAAAUCCAUACCCUGGAAACAAAAGGUAUGUCUGCUCUAUCAGUCAGUCAAGUACAAGUCUGAAUCGCUUUUAAAACUAAACACAUGCAUGAUGCAUUAACAUAUGCAUCCUGUGGUGGACAGAAACUUUGAGGCUCUGAGCUUGCUGGACAGAACAAGGGUGGUGUGAUCACCAAAGCCCAGCUUAGCUGCUGUACGCUCACUGUAGGGAGCAGGGGUGUGCAGCCAAAUAAAUGUAGUCUCUGACUCCAAGGGAUGUAGAUAUAUUGAGCCAGUAGGACUUCUAGGGGUAGAGGGAAUGGGAGGGUGGGCAGAGA
Molecule: long non-coding RNA, 1018 nt
Organism: Falco peregrinus (peregrine falcon)
Lineage: Eukaryota; Metazoa; Chordata; Aves; Falconiformes; Falconidae
Exons: 3
Source: RefSeq, a predicted model, not a curated record